Long non-coding RNA from Oryzias melastigma (Indian medaka), 733 nucleotides. RefSeq lists it as uncharacterized. NCBI's taxonomy places the organism in Eukaryota, Metazoa, Chordata, Actinopteri, Beloniformes, Adrianichthyidae. The transcript has 3 exons. The record is from RefSeq and is a predicted model, not a curated record.
AAGCUUCAGCAUCUUCAGCCACUACUUUCAGCAAAAAGCAUUCACACUAACAUCGUCGCAGUUUUUCCAGGGGAAUCUCAUGGACACAGAAGAGAACAUGUGGAACGUCGAAGGUCCUGACAGUCAUGAAAGGAUCAGCAUCCUAACAAACCUUAAGUAACAUUUACAUUUAAAGUUUCCUCUUCUCCCCACCUUUCCACCCCCAUCUCUCCCACAUGGUUCAUCCCCUUCAUCCUAAUAUUGCUGAUGGAAUCUGCACUCUGAUCCGUCCGAGGACGUCACGCUGAGCCUGUUAUUUUUGGUUCCUGUGUUUCUCAUCUCAGUAGUGGUUGUGUUAUCGCAUCUCGAAUGAUUAGAUAAUAACAAUACAUUUGUCUGAAUGCUUCGGCUCCUGUGGGAUAGUGGGAUGAUAGAGUGAAAAACACUUUGAAAAUGCUGCUUUUGGAAAAAAGCGCCUCGACGGGAACAUGUAGAAGAUGAAAUUUGGAAAACAAAUUGUCAUUUAAAUGAACAUAAAUUCCAACUAUUGUGAGUAUAAUGUCUCCAUCAGACUGUUGAGUAACAGUGAGCAUCUAUUGGACUGUAACAUCUCUGUGGGAUUUAUUUCAUAUUUACUGCCAGCAGUUUGUAAAACAGAUUUUUUAAGAAAACAAGGGAGUGAAGCUUAAUGUGUUUGGGGUUGUUUUAAAGACCUUUUCUGUAUAGUUUAGGAAUAAAGAUUGUUCUGGAGUGA